This 946-nucleotide non-coding RNA is filed under the name Neodontobutis hainanensis. RNAcentral's name for it is "12S ribosomal RNA". It matches the Rfam family "Bacterial small subunit ribosomal RNA". The record is from RNAcentral. Lineage: Eukaryota; Metazoa; Chordata; Actinopteri; Gobiiformes; Odontobutidae.
CAAAAGCUUGGUCCUGACUUUACUAUCAACUGUGACUAAAUUUACACAUGCAAGUAUCCGCACACCCGUGAGAAUGCCCUAAGACUUCUAAUGAGGAGCCAAGGAGCUGGUAUCAGGCACAACACAAUGUUAGCCCACGACACCUUGCUAAGCCACACCCCCAAGGGAAUUCAGCAGUGAUAAACAUUAAGCUAUAAGUGUAAGCUUGACUUAGUUAAUGUCAAAAGAGCCGGUAAAACUCGUGCCAGCCACCGCGGUUAUACGAGAGGCUCAAGUUGAUAGAUACGGCGUAAAGAGUGGUUAAGAGAAUAUUUAACUAAAGUCAAACACCUUCAAGGCUGUUAUACGCACCCGAAGAAAUGAAGAACUUCCACGAAAGUAGCUUUAAAUAACUGAAUCCACGAAAGCUAGGGUACAAACUGGGAUUAGAUACCCCACUAUGCCUAGCCCUAAACAAAAGUAAUGAUAUUACACCUACUACUCGCCCGGGAACUACGAGCAUUAGCUUAAAACCCAAAGGACUUGGCGGUGCUUUAGAACCACCUAGAGGAGCCUGUUCUAGAACCGAUAACCCCCGUUCAACCUCACCCUUUCUUGUUAUUUCCGCCUAUAUACCGCCGUCGUCAGCUUACCCUGUAAAGGUUUAAUAGUAAGCAAAAAUGGUAUAACCCAGCACGUCAGGUCGAGGUGUAGCAUAUGAAAGGGGAAGAAAUGGGCUACAUUUCCUAAUUUAGGAAACACGAAUAAUGGAUUGAAAUAAACAUUUGAAGGUGGAUUUAGUAGUAAGGUGAUAAAUAGAGUGUUCUCCUGAAAUUGGCCCUGAAGCGCGCACACACCGCCCGUCACUCUCCCCAAGCUCAUAGUUUAUAUACAUAAAACAAAAUAAUUGCAAAGGGGAGGCAAGUCGUAACAUGGUAAGCGUACCGGAAGGUGUGCUUGGAAAAAU